This 508-nucleotide ribosomal RNA is filed under the name uncultured eukaryote. RNAcentral describes it as "eukaryotic LSU rRNA". It matches the Rfam family "Eukaryotic large subunit ribosomal RNA", at positions 936 to 1447 of the family's 3401-position model. The record is from RNAcentral.
CGAACCAUCUAGUAGCUGGUUCCCUCCGAAGUUUCCCUCAGGAUAGCUGGAACAAUUAUGCAGUUUUAUCAGGUAAAGCGAAUGAUUAGAGGUCUCAGGACUAUUAUGGUCUUGUCCUAUUCUCAAACUUUAAAUUGGUAAGAACUCUUUGUUCUCUUAACUGAACAUUGAGACAGAAUGCGUGUUCCUAGUGGGCCAUUUUUGGUAAGCAGAACUGGCGAUGAGGGAUGAACCUAACGUUGAGUUAAGGUGCCCAACUAUACGCUCAUGAGAUACCACAAAAGGUGUUGAUUCAUCUAAACAGCAGGACGGUGGACAUAAAAGUCGUCAUCCGCUAAGGAGUGUGUUACAACUCACCUGCCGAAUGAAUUAGCCCUGAAAAUGGAUGGCGCUAAAGCGUAUGACCGAUACUCAACCAUCAAUACAAAAGAAAGUAGUGAUGAGUAGGAGGGCGUGGGUGUUGUAAGAAGAUAUGGCGUGAGCCUGAUUGGAACGACAUCUAGUGCAG